UGUAGGAGUGAGCCUGCUCGCGAUGGCGGUGUGUCAGAUAUCAGUGAUGGCGACUGAUACACCGCUAUCGCGAGCAGGCUCACUCCUACA
RNAcentral lists this unclassified non-coding RNA (90 nucleotides) under Pseudomonas moraviensis. The record is from RNAcentral. Lineage: Bacteria; Pseudomonadati; Pseudomonadota; Gammaproteobacteria; Pseudomonadales; Pseudomonadaceae.